RNAcentral lists this ribosomal RNA (433 nucleotides) under uncultured bacterium. Its description in RNAcentral is "partial 16S ribosomal RNA". It matches the Rfam family "Bacterial small subunit ribosomal RNA", at positions 29 to 507 of the family's 1533-position model. The record is from RNAcentral.
AACGAACGCUGGCGGCAUGCCUAACACAUGCAAGUCGAACGAGAGCUUCGAGUCUAGUGGCGCACGGAUGGGUAACGGGUGGGAAUCUGCCUAGGAGUUCGGGAUGACAGGUGGAAACGACUGCUAAUACCGGAGGAUGAAUUCCGUCCAAAGAUUUAGCGCACAGGGAUGAGCCUGCGUCGUCUUACCUAGUUGGUGACGUAAGACGUCACCAAGGCGACGUUCCGUAGCUGGUCUGAGAGGAUGAUCAGCCACACUGGCACUGAGAAACGGCCCAGACUCCUACGGGAGGGACCAAUGGGGAAUAUUGGAAAGUGGGCGAAAGCCUGAUCCAGCAAUGCCGCGUGAGUGAUGAAGGCCUUAGGGUUGUACAGCUCUUUUACCCGGUAUGAUAAUGACAUUACCGGGAGAAUAAGCCCCGGCUAACUCCGUG